UGCUAUACAGGCUGUUGCCACGCCGGCUGGCUAGGUCGCUCUAGAGCGAUCACCUUCGGGAUGGUGGAAGGCUGAAACUGGCACCAUCUUCUGGUGAGGCGCAUCACAGCUCUCCACAAUCUAAAGCGGAUGGUGUCCAGCCCUGUCCUGAGUCAUACAGAGUGACACAUUGAAUUGAUUCUAUCCCCGCCUCUGUGGAAGGAAUCACUGUCUCACCAAGGCCUACGACUGAACCUGAUGCUUCUGAGGUCUGCGGGCUUGUCUUGAAGGUCACACCUAGGACCCUGUGCAAAUUAGGCAGGGGCUCUACCACUGAUGCACGAGCUGCACCACACCCUCUCUGCCAUGGUGGACUGAAAUGUCUGAAAUGUUGGGGAAUGAGUUCCAGGUCUGGGAGCCCUGGUUAGGAUCCUGCCUCUUUGGGAAAUGGCAGAUCAAUGUGUCCUCAUUCAGAGAGAAGGUGAAAACACUGGGACAAAUUUAUACUUCAGAAACCAUUCUUCUGCAUGUUUAAUGCAAAGCCAGGCUUGAUGGUGCAUGUCUGUAAUCCCAGUGCUGGAGAAACUGAAGUGGGAAGAUUGCAAACUCAAGACCAAUCUGUCCAAAAAAACAGAGAUUGACAAAAUAAUUCAUAUGCUUAAUUCAAGUAUUAACUUCCCUCUUUUGUAUAUGACAUAUAUAGAGUUUUUAAUCAACUGGAUAUCAAAUAUCCUUUGUUGUCUGUUGAUAAAUGUUGUUCAUAUUUAUAAAGAAAUGUGAUGAGAGUG
Molecule: long non-coding RNA, 767 nt
Filed under: Cricetulus griseus (Chinese hamster)
Lineage: Eukaryota; Metazoa; Chordata; Mammalia; Rodentia; Cricetidae
Description: lncRNA (ENSCGRG00015036622.1)
Source: RNAcentral